RNAcentral lists this unclassified non-coding RNA (200 nucleotides) under soil metagenome. Its description in RNAcentral is "partial contains internal transcribed spacer 2 and large subunit ribosomal RNA". The record is from RNAcentral.
GCUUAAGAUGACUAAGGCGUAUUAGUUUCCCAUUUGGGAAUCCACUCGUGCGCCGGUGUAUUGGUCUCUCUAGCCUUUGUGUUGGUUGAUCGCUAUGCUUUUCUAAAUGUUCUUCUGAGCAUUUACUUAGUUUGGCAUGCGGUUUGCAUAUCGAACUUGAUCUUGAUCUCAAAUCAGGCAAGACUACCCGCUGAAUUUAA